Molecule: long non-coding RNA, 1012 nt
Organism: Astatotilapia calliptera (eastern happy)
Lineage: Eukaryota; Metazoa; Chordata; Actinopteri; Cichliformes; Cichlidae
Source: Ensembl
CCCAACAAGACGUAAUCAUAAACUUUUCAUUCUCUGUGAACUGGACCAAAAAUUUAAAUAUAAAAAAGGGAUGGGGUGGCUGAAAUCAGCAAGUGAAGCAAGUUUAAAAAAGAAAAGAAAUGAAAAGGCCUAAAGGUGCACCAUUUGCAUUUAAUAGAUAGUGUCGGAGAGAGAAAAGGAAUGAGAGCGAGGUAACGAGGUAACAAAUUAUAUCGUUUUCCCCUCUGGUGAAACUAAGCAUUGUUUCUAGUUGUUCUGGUUCUAAAACUGCAGACAUAAGCAGAGGAAUGAAAACGAGAAACACGUUUUUGCUUAUUUAUGCAUAUUUAGGAACAGCUGCAUUAAAAAUCUGGUUAACACAAAUGUUCAUUCAGAAUCAUCAACUACGGAACCGACCAGUAAAAAAAACGAUAAAAUCUUUAUUUGUUAAAAGACUAAAAUCGAAAGUCAAGCUUUUCUUUUAAAUAGUUUGAUUCAAACAGAUAUUCUUUGACUCUGUGAUGUGUGCUUACUUUAAAAGCUUUUACCUCUAAACGGCAUCUAUUGCACAGAAGGUGAAAUUGAAACAUGAAAGAAAACAAUUACUGUGGAAGUUAUCAUUUCCAGCAACAGAAACCGCUGAGUCACAGUGUGGAGGAAUAAAAAAAAAACAAAAGUAAAAAGAAGGUCACAAUAAAAAAAGAGAGAGAAUAAAGAAAAGAGACGUUGGCAUCACUGUCCUUGACUAACAUUAAUAAGGCUCAUUGACUGGCGCUGAAGUGGUUUUGGAAAGAAAAAGAGGAGGAGGAAGAAAGCUGAGGAUACAAAGACGACUGAAACAGAUGGAGGCAAAAGAAAGAAAGCUGUCACUGAUCAUCAGGUCAGCACAGCACUCCAGAAACAUGUCACUGUUGGCCUGUUCCUUCAGACUCAGUCUCAGGGGUGCCAAAAACAAAAACAAUUUUUGUCAUAUUUUUGGACAAACCUGAGUAGAGUAGGCAUUUCUUUAUGGUCUCAUUUACUCCUUGUCAAC